UACAGAGGUCUCAAGCGUUGUUCGGAUUCAUUGGGCGUAAAGGGUGCGUAGGUGGGCAGGUAAGUCAGUGGUGAAAUCUCCGGGCUUAACCCGGAAACUGCCAUUGAUACUAUCAGUCUUGAAUACCGUGGAGGUAAGCGGAAUAUGUCAUGUAGCGGUGAAAUGCUUAGAUAUGACAUAGAACACCAAUUGCGAAGGCAGCUUACUACCCGAAUAUUGACACUGAGGCACGAAAGCGUGGGGAUCAAACAGG
RNAcentral lists this ribosomal RNA (253 nucleotides) under uncultured bacterium. RNAcentral's name for it is "partial 16S ribosomal RNA". It matches the Rfam family "Bacterial small subunit ribosomal RNA", at positions 524 to 776 of the family's 1533-position model. The record is from RNAcentral.